This 252-nucleotide unclassified non-coding RNA is filed under the name uncultured Onygenales. RNAcentral describes it as "sequence contains ITS2". The stretch from base 1 to 52 matches the Rfam family "5.8S ribosomal RNA", at positions 103 to 154 of the family's 154-position model. The record is from RNAcentral. Lineage: Eukaryota; Fungi; Ascomycota; Eurotiomycetes; Onygenales.
AACGCACAUUGCGCCCUCUGGUAUUCCGGGGGGCAUGCCUGUUCGAGCGUCAUUGCAACCCCUCAAGCACGGCUUGUGUGUUGGGCCAUCGUCCCUGUGUGGACGGGCCUGAAAUGCAGUGGCAGCAUCGAGAUACCGGUGUCGAGUGUAUGGGCUUCCAUCACCACUCUGUAGACCCGAUCGGUGCUGGUCGUGAACAUCAUCUUCAUCCAGUUUGACCUCGGAUCAGGUAGGAAUACCCGCUGAACUUAA